CCUACGGGAGGCAGCAGUGGGGAAUAUUGGGCAAUGGGCGCAAGCCUGACCCAGCAACGCCGCGUGAAGGAAGAAGGCUUUCGGGUUGUAAACUUCUUUUGACAGGGAAGAGUAGAAGACGGUACCUGUCGAAUAAGCCACGGCUAACUACGUGCCAGCAGCCGCGGUAAUACGUAGGUGGCAAGCGUUGUCCGGAUUUACUGGGUGUAAAGGGCGUGUAGCCGGGUUGACAAGUCAGAUGUGAAAGCCUGCGGCUUAACCGCAGAACUGCAUUUGAAACUGUUGCUCUUGAGUACUGGAGAGGGAGACGGAAUUCCUAGUGUAGCGGUGAAAUGCGUAGAUAUUAGGAGGAACACCAGUGGCGAAGGCGGUCUGUUGGACAGCAACUGACGGUGAGGCGCGAAAGCGUGGGGAGCAAACAGGAUUAGAUACCCUUGUAGUC
This 442-nucleotide ribosomal RNA is filed under the name uncultured bacterium. RNAcentral's name for it is "partial 16S ribosomal RNA". It matches the Rfam family "Bacterial small subunit ribosomal RNA", at positions 338 to 795 of the family's 1533-position model. The record is from RNAcentral.